AGCUCGCCAGAGGAAAAAGGAAACAGAAACUCCGCAACUUGCGCCUUGGAAAUACUGCCGGCUAGCGCUGCGGGAAACGGCUCCCCUUAACUCUGAAGUUCCGCGAUCUUCUCUUUGUGCGCGGGCGGAUGGAUCAACGCCGCCAAGUGGGGAAAGCGCGAAUGCAGUCCCCCACUACAACAAAUUAUGCAGUCGAGUUUUCCACAUUUGGGAAUAUCACAGGGGUCAGCACAUCCGGAGUGCAAUCGAUGAGCCCCACGCUGGGAAAAACCACCUUCGUGAUCAUGGUAUCUUCCCUGCCAGAGAGAAACCAAUCAGCUUCAUUUUCAACUUCUUCUAUGACUCCAGAGGAUUCACUUUGCAUCUUGUGACAAAUGAAUAUAUUACCUGAAAAAAAAAUGACAGGAUAGAUAUUGAAGAAAUAAUUUUUUAUAGGACUCUGGAGUGAAGGGAUUAAUAUUGACCAGAGCCAAUGAGGUCAUCUCAUCCUUGAGGGGAGCAGGUGUGAGCUUCAAAUGCUUAGGGCCUCUGGAAGGAAGCUUCCCUGUUGGAGAAAUCACCAACCGGCUCAGCAUGGUCUGAAUGAGGAUGACAAAAGGAGUUGCUGCACAGGGGGAAAGCGAAGUUCCCAGGAGUAAGAUGUGCAAGAAGCGGGCAGCCUUGCAUCUCAGGGCUGAGUUCCCUCAACUGUGUGCUUGAGGGAAGUUCUCCCCUUGCAGACACACUGCUGAGUGAUAAGGAAGCACCUAGACUCCACUCUGACCAGACUUGGUUCUGAGGCCUAUGAAAUGUUGAUGGGAAGAACAGAAGCAGGAAAAUCUAUCUAUUCAAAUUUGCAAGACGUGGAAACUUUUAUUCACCUUCCUGGUUAGACUGUUCCUUUGUCAAAGUAAAGCUAAGGCCAUGGAAAAUGAGCUAUUUGAGAGUUUGUCGCUCCAAGGAAGAACAUGCUGGCCUAAUUGUCCCCCAAGUCAGGAGAGAGAAUUGUAAAAAACACUUAAACAGGCCUAAGUAAAGGUCCAGCACAUUAUUUAUUUAAGACUGAAUUAGAACUGAGUCAUUCCGACUCUGAAAAAAGAGUGUUGUUGGAUUCUUAUGUAUUUAAUGGGUCUGCCCUAUUGAAAACCAUUGUGAAGUAUGGUUUCCCAAGCAAGAAAUGACACUUUCACUGUCAGUCUUUCUAGGAGUCUGGCAGAAUCCAGGACCGGGAUUACCCUUAUUUAUGAAGCGACCUUAGACUAACAGUGGCUCUCUGGGUCUCCAGACAAUUGGCCAGGGACUCUAAAAACCAGAAACAAAGUUGAGAGAACUCCAUGCUGGUGGAGAAAAACAGCUGGCCUUUAUCACCAGAAUGUGCCCCAUAGAAGCAGCAAAGCAGCAAGCGACGUUCUUAAACAAGGGCCUGUGGGCCUCGUCAAGAUCUGGAGGAAUCAUCUACGACUCACUGCUGAGUGAGAGGGCUAGGCAGUGUCUUUAAGGUCCUGCCAGCUUUAACAUUGUAUGCUUUUUCUUUUGUUCAAUCUCUCACCACAACUGGAAGUGUUGCCUCAACUACACAGGAGAAAGUUUGCAGUAACUUAGAGAAAACAUUAUUUUAAUCACCAGUGUAUGUUCUCCUGCUCCCUGGACAAAUCCAUCAGCAGCGGCAACACUGACCAGGUCCAGAUUGGGGCCGCUGCGGUGGAUGUGAAUCCAUUGAAACUAGGGGUCUCCAGUGCUCCUGACUCCUCACAGCUCUGUUCCUAUGACAAGGAUGGUCAGCAAAGCCAGCAACCUUGAAGGGGGACCUUCUUCUAAUCUCCUCCCUGCCUGCUGAGAGAGUGUACAGAAGCAGCCACUUGUCAGCUGCGAUGAAUCCAAUGAUAAUUACAUAAAUCAUUAACAAUACUUGAUAUUUGCCCAUCACAUUUCUCAUUUCAAAGUGCUCAUAAAAUUGUAUCUCAUGGGUGGCACUGCCGGCACAACAGAAUUCCAAGGAAGGAUUACGGGCUAA
Long non-coding RNA from Homo sapiens (human), 1993 nucleotides. Ensembl annotates it as WEE2 antisense RNA 1. Its record names the gene WEE2-AS1. Lineage: Eukaryota; Metazoa; Chordata; Mammalia; Primates; Hominidae. The record is from Ensembl.